AGUGCAAUUGCUAGAUAAAAUGCUGUUAUAUUUAGUUUUGUAAGAAAUUGUCGAAUUAUCUUUUAAAGUGACUAUACUAUUUUCUAUUCCCACCAGCACU
This 100-nucleotide microRNA precursor is filed under the name Marmota monax (woodchuck). Lineage: Eukaryota; Metazoa; Chordata; Mammalia; Rodentia; Sciuridae. The record is from RNAcentral.